This 253-nucleotide ribosomal RNA is filed under the name uncultured bacterium. RNAcentral describes it as "partial 16S ribosomal RNA". It matches the Rfam family "Bacterial small subunit ribosomal RNA", at positions 524 to 776 of the family's 1533-position model. The record is from RNAcentral.
UACGUAGGUGACCAGCGUUGUCCGGAUUUACUGGGCGUAAAGAGCGCGCAGGCGGUCCAAUAAGUCGAGUGUGAAAGCCCCCGGCUCAACUGGGGAGGGUCAUUCGAUACUGAUGGACUUGAAGGCAGGAGAGGGAAGCGGAAUUCCCGGUGUAGUGGUGAAAUGCGUAGAUAUCGGGAGGAACACCAGUGGCGAAGGCGGCUUCCUGGCCUGUUCUUGACGCUGAGGCGCGAAAGCUAGGGGAGCAAACGGG